AGCUUGUACAGGUGCUGCAUGGCUGUCGUCAGCUCGUGUCGUGAGAUGUUCGGUUAAGUCCGCUAACGAGCGCAACCCUCGCUGUGUGUUACAAGUGUCACACGGAACUGCCGGUCAUAAACCGGAGGAAGGUGGGGAUGACGUCAAGUCAGCAUGGCCUUUAUAUCCUGGGCUACACACACGCUACAAUGGGAAGGGACAAUAGGUUGCGAAGCCGCGAGGCGGAGCCAAUCCAGCAAAACUUCCCUCAGUUCAGAUUGCAGGCUGCAACUCGCCUGCAUGAAGUUGGAGUUGCUAGUAAACGCAGGUCAGCAUGCUGCGGUGAAUACGUUCCCGGGUCUU
This 342-nucleotide ribosomal RNA is filed under the name uncultured Anaerolineaceae bacterium. RNAcentral describes it as "bacterial SSU rRNA". It matches the Rfam family "Bacterial small subunit ribosomal RNA", at positions 1027 to 1382 of the family's 1533-position model. The record is from RNAcentral. Lineage: Bacteria; Bacillati; Chloroflexota; Anaerolineae; Anaerolineales; Anaerolineaceae.